Molecule: ribosomal RNA, 429 nt
Filed under: Chloroflexota bacterium
Lineage: Bacteria; Bacillati; Chloroflexota
Description: Chloroflexi bacterium partial 16S ribosomal RNA
Rfam family: Bacterial small subunit ribosomal RNA
Source: RNAcentral
UGGGGAAUAUUGCACAAUGGGCGCAAGCCUGAUGCAGCCAUGCCGCGUGUAUGAAGAAGGCCUUCGGGUUGUAAAGUACUUUCAGCGGGGAGGAAGGCGAUAAGGUUAAUAACCUUGUCGAUUGACGUUACCCGCAGAAGAAGCACCGGCUAACUCCGUGCCAGCAGCCGCGGUAAUACGGAGGGUGCAAGCGUUAAUCGGAAUUACUGGGCGUAAAGCGCACGCAGGCGGUCUGUCAAGUCGGAUGUGAAUUCCCCGGGCUCAACCUGCGUACUGCAUUCGAAACUUGCAGGCUAGAGUCUUGUAGAGGGGGGUAGCAUUCCAGGUGUAGCGGUGAAAUGCGUAGAGAUCUGGAGGAAGACCGGUGGCGAAGGCGGCCCCCUGCACAAAGACUGACGCUCAGGUGCGAAAGCGUGGGGAGCAAACAGG